Molecule: long non-coding RNA, 153 nt
Filed under: Chrysemys picta bellii (western painted turtle)
Lineage: Eukaryota; Metazoa; Chordata; Testudines; Emydidae
Description: lncRNA (ENSCPBG00000009596.1)
Source: RNAcentral
CGUCACUCUCAUAAUGAAGCUAUCACAGAUCUAAUCAAUUAGAACAUUGGGCACCAAUUCCAUCUUGAGGCGAGAUUCUGCGCUGCGCCUCUUGGUGGCUCAGCCCAGGGAGGAAAGUGGCUUUGUAAAUUCUACGUGAUUCGAGUUACAUGA